This 248-nucleotide ribosomal RNA is filed under the name uncultured bacterium. RNAcentral's name for it is "partial 16S ribosomal RNA". It matches the Rfam family "Bacterial small subunit ribosomal RNA", at positions 523 to 769 of the family's 1533-position model. The record is from RNAcentral.
AUACGUAGGGAGCGAGCGUUGUCCGGAAUUACUGGGUGUAAAGGGAGCGUAGGCGGGAUUGCAAGUCAGAUGUGAAAACUACGGGCUCAACCUGUAGAUUGCAUUUGAAACUGUAGUUCUUGAGUGAAGUAGAGGUAAGCGGAAUUCCUAGUGUAGCGGUGAAAUGCGUAGAUAUUAGGAGGAACAUCGGUGGCGAAGGCGGCUUACUGGGUCUUUUACUGACGCUGAGGCUCGAAAGCGUGGGGAGC